AGAAGGUGAGAAGAGACAAACUAGGUUAUU
RNAcentral lists this non-coding RNA (30 nucleotides) under Homo sapiens (human). Lineage: Eukaryota; Metazoa; Chordata; Mammalia; Primates; Hominidae. The record is from RNAcentral.